This 253-nucleotide ribosomal RNA is filed under the name uncultured bacterium. RNAcentral describes it as "partial 16S ribosomal RNA". It matches the Rfam family "Bacterial small subunit ribosomal RNA", at positions 524 to 776 of the family's 1533-position model. The record is from RNAcentral.
UACGUAGGGGGCAAGCGUUGUCCGGAUUUAUUGGGCGUAAAGAGCGUGUAGGUGGCCAUGCAGGUCCGUUGUGAAAACUCGAGGCUCAACCUCGAGACGCCGAUGGAAACCGCAUGGCUAGAGUCCGGAAGAGGAGAGUGGAAUUCCUGGUGUAGCGGUGAAAUGCGCAGAUAUCAGGAAGAACACCCGUGGCUAAGGCGGCUCUCUAGUACGGUACUGACGCUGAGACGCGAAAGCGUGGGGAGCGAACAGG